Molecule: ribosomal RNA, 466 nt
Filed under: uncultured bacterium
Lineage: Bacteria
Description: partial 16S ribosomal RNA
Rfam family: Bacterial small subunit ribosomal RNA
Source: RNAcentral
ACGUACGCUGGCGGCGUGCUUAACUCAUGCAAGUCGCACGGAAAGGCCCUGCUUUUGUGGGGUGCUCGAGUGGCGAACGGGUGAGUAACACGUGAGUAACCUGCCCUUGACUUUGGGAUAACUUCAGGAAACUGGGGCUAAUACCGGAUAGGAGCUCCUGCUGCAUGGUGGGGGUUGGAAAGUUUCGGCGGUUGGGGAUGGACUCGCGGCUUAUCAGCUUGUUGGUGGGGUAGUGGCUUAUCAAGGCUUUGACGGGUAGCCGGCCUGAGAGGGUGACCGGCCACAUUGGGACUGAGGGACGGCCCAGACUCCUACGGGAGGCAGCAGUGGAGAAUAUUGCGCAAUGGGCGGAAGCCGGAUGCAGCAACGCCGCGUGCGGGAUGACGGCCUUCGGGUUGUAAACCGCUUUCGCCUGUGACGAAGCGUGAGUGACGGUAAUGGGUAAAGAAGCACCGGCUAACUACGU